This 377-nucleotide ribosomal RNA is filed under the name uncultured bacterium. Its description in RNAcentral is "bacterial SSU rRNA". It matches the Rfam family "Bacterial small subunit ribosomal RNA", at positions 30 to 410 of the family's 1533-position model. The record is from RNAcentral.
AUUGAACGCUGGCGGCAUGCCUUACACAUGCAAGUCGAACGGCAGCGCGGGGCAACCUGGCGGCGAGUGGCGAACGGGUGAGUAAUAUAUCGGAACGUACCCUAGAGUGGGGGAUAACGUAGCGAAAGUUACGCUAAUACCGCAUACGAUCUAAGGAUGAAAGUGGGGGAUCGCAAGACCUCAUGCUUGUGGAGCGGCCGAUAUCUGAUUAGCUAGUUGGGGGGUAAAGGCCUACCAAGGCAUCGAUCAGUAGCUGGUCUGAGAGGACGACCAGCCACACUGGAACUGAGACACGGCCCAGACUCCUACGGGAGGCAGCAGUGGGGAAUUUUGGACAAUGGACGCAAGUCUGAUCCAGCCAUUCCGCGUGCAGGAUG